RNAcentral lists this unclassified non-coding RNA (331 nucleotides) under soil metagenome. RNAcentral describes it as "partial contains 5.8S ribosomal RNA, internal transcribed spacer 2, and large subunit ribosomal RNA". The stretch from base 1 to 120 matches the Rfam family "5.8S ribosomal RNA", at positions 35 to 154 of the family's 154-position model. The record is from RNAcentral.
GAUGAAGAACGCAGCGAAAUGCGCUAAGUAAUGUGAAUUGCAGAAUUCAGUGAAUCAUCGAAUCUUUGAACGCACAUUGCGCCCCCUGGUAUUCCGGGGGGCAUGCCUGUUCGAGCGUCAUUUCACCACUCAAGCCUCGCUUGGUAUUGGGCAACGCGGUCCGCCGCGUGCCUCAAAUCGACCGGCUGGGUCUUCUGUCCCCUAAGCGUUGUGGAAACUAUUCGCUAAAGGGUGUUCGGGAGGCUACGCCGUAAAACAACCCCAUUUCUAAGGUUGACCUCGGAUCAGGUAGGGAUACCCGCUGAACUUAAGCAUAUCAAUAAGCGGAGGA